GACGAACCGUGCGACCGUUGUUCGGAAUCACUGGGCUUAAAGGGCGCGUAGGCGGGCCAUAAAGUCAAGGGUGAAAUCCCCCAGCUUAACUGGGGAACUGCCUUUGAUACUGAUGGUCUCGAGUAAGGUAGGGGCAUGCGGAACUGAUGGUGGAGCGGUGAAAUGUGUUGAUAUCAUCAGGAACUCCGGUGGCGAAGGCGGCAUGCUGGACCUUCACUGACGCUGAGGCGCGAAAGCUAGGGGAGCGAACGGG
RNAcentral lists this ribosomal RNA (253 nucleotides) under uncultured bacterium. Its description in RNAcentral is "partial 16S ribosomal RNA". It matches the Rfam family "Bacterial small subunit ribosomal RNA", at positions 524 to 776 of the family's 1533-position model. The record is from RNAcentral.